RNAcentral lists this long non-coding RNA (353 nucleotides) under Zea mays. RNAcentral's name for it is "long non-coding RNA NONZMAT003235". Lineage: Eukaryota; Viridiplantae; Streptophyta; Magnoliopsida; Poales; Poaceae. The record is from RNAcentral.
CACUGUGGUCUAGAAGCUGCAGAGCAGAAGAAUAACGUGCUGGCGAAUAUGUAGCGCAGAGGCCCUAACCUCAACGAAAGGUGGCGUCGUGGCUUCGCCAGCCCCUGGCGAGGAUGUAGGUACCCGCGACCUGGGCGAGAACCAGUGGCUGGAGGAAGGAGGAUGAAGAGUGGGCACCAUUCGCCAGAGAUUGGAACCCGCAGCCAUGGCGUGGACGGCCCGGGGUUUAUGCGUUAACCUAAUGGAAGAAGGGGUCUAGGGGGUGCUUAUAUGCACGGAUAGAGCCGUGAGGACGGCGGGCAGAACGACCCUGGAAUCCGGCUGGCGCGUAGCUAGCGCGCGGUAGUUUCGCC